RNAcentral lists this ribosomal RNA (421 nucleotides) under uncultured bacterium. RNAcentral's name for it is "bacterial SSU rRNA". It matches the Rfam family "Bacterial small subunit ribosomal RNA", at positions 356 to 774 of the family's 1533-position model. The record is from RNAcentral.
GAGGAAUAUUGGGCAAUGCCCGCAAGGGUGACCCAGCAACGCCGCGUGGAGGAUGAAUGUCGUAAGAUUGUAAACUCCUGUUAGAGGGGAAGAAUAGUACCGGUUGGACCGGUAUAUGACUGUACCCUCAGAGAAAGCCCCGGCUAACUACGUGCCAGCAGCCGCGGUAAUACGUAGGGGGCAAGCGUUGUCCGGAUUUACUGGGUGUAAAGGGUGCGCAGGCGGAUGGGUAAGUCAGGGGUGAAAGUCUGCAGCUUAACUGUAGAAUUGCCUUUGAUACUGCUCAUCUUGAGUGUGGGAGAGGUUGAUGGAAUUCCAGGUGUAGCAGUGAAAUGCGUAGAUAUCUGGAAGAACACCAGUGGCGAAGGCGGUCAACUGGCCCAUAACUGACGCUCAUGCACGAAAGCGUGGGGAGCAAACA